UACAGAGGGUGCAAGCGUUAAUCGGAAUUACUGGGCGUAAAGCGUGCGUAGUCGGUUAUUUAAGUCAGAUGUGAAAGCCCCGGGCUUAACCUGGGAAUGGCAUUUGAGACUGCAUAGCUAGGGUGCGGAAGAGGGAAGCGGAAUUUCCGGUGUAGCAGUGAAAUGCGUAGAUAUCGGAAGGAACACCAGUGGCGAAAGCGGCUUCCUGGUCCAGCACCGACGUUCAGGCACGAAAGCGUGGGGAGCAAACAGG
This 253-nucleotide ribosomal RNA is filed under the name uncultured bacterium. RNAcentral's name for it is "partial 16S ribosomal RNA". It matches the Rfam family "Bacterial small subunit ribosomal RNA", at positions 524 to 776 of the family's 1533-position model. The record is from RNAcentral.